RNAcentral lists this ribosomal RNA (119 nucleotides) under Salmo salar (Atlantic salmon). The record is from RNAcentral. Lineage: Eukaryota; Metazoa; Chordata; Actinopteri; Salmoniformes; Salmonidae.
ACUUACGGCCAUACCAGCCUGGGUACGCCCGAUCUCGUCUGAUCUCGGAAGCUAAGCCGGGUCGGGCCUGGUUAGUACUUGGAUGGGAGACCGCCUGGGAAUACCAGGUGCUGUAAGCA